This 253-nucleotide ribosomal RNA is filed under the name uncultured bacterium. RNAcentral describes it as "partial 16S ribosomal RNA". It matches the Rfam family "Bacterial small subunit ribosomal RNA", at positions 524 to 776 of the family's 1533-position model. The record is from RNAcentral.
UACGUAGGGAGCAAGCGUUGUUCGGAAUUACUGGGCGUAAAGAGUGUGUAGGCGGUGUUCUAAGUCUGACGUGAAAUCUCCCGGCUUAACUGGGAGGGUGCGUCGGAAACUGGAAUGCUAGAGUGUGGGAGAGGAAAGCGGAAUUCCUGGUGUAGCGGUGAAAUGCGUAGAUAUCAGGAGGAACACCUGCGGUGUAGACAGCUUUCUGGACCACUUCUGACGCUGAGACACGAAAGCGUGGGUAGCAAACAGG